RNAcentral lists this ribosomal RNA (1002 nucleotides) under Staphylococcus sp. HMSC074A11. RNAcentral describes it as "bacterial LSU rRNA". It matches the Rfam family "Bacterial large subunit ribosomal RNA", at positions 463 to 1471 of the family's 2925-position model. Lineage: Bacteria; Bacillati; Bacillota; Bacilli; Caryophanales; Staphylococcaceae. The record is from RNAcentral.
AGGCUAAAUACUCUCUAGUGACCGAUAGUGAACCAGUACCGUGAGGGAAAGGUGAAAAGUACCCCGGAAGGGGAGUGAAAGAGAACUUGAAACCGUGUGCUUACAAGUAGUCAGAGCCCGUUAAUGGGUGAUGGCGUGCCUUUUGUAGAAUGAACCGGCGAGUUACGAUCUGAUGCAAGGUUAAGCAGGAGAUGUGGAGCCGUAGCGAAAGCGAGUCUGAAUAGGGCGUUGAGUAUUUGGUCGUAGACCCGAAACCAGGUGAUCUACCCAUGGUCAGGUUGAAGUUCAGGUAACACUGAAUGGAGGACCGAACCGACUUACGUUGAAAAGUGAGCGGAUGAACUGUGGGUAGCGGAGAAAUUCCAAUCGAACUUGGAGAUAGCUGGUUCUCUCCGAAAUAGCUUUAGGGCUAGCCUCAAGUGAUGAUUAUUGGAGGUAGAGCACUGUUUGGACGAGGGGCCCCUCUCGGGUUACCGAAUUCAGACAAACUCCGAAUGCCAAUUAAUUUAACUUGGGAGUCAGAACAUGGGUGAUAAGGUCCGUGUUCGAAAGGGAAACAGCCCAGACCACCAGCUAAGGUCCCAAAAUAUAUGUUAAGUGGAAAAGGAUGUGGCGUUGCCCAGACAACUAGGAUGUUGGCUUAGAAGCAGCCAUCAUUUAAAGAGUGCGUAAUAGCUCACUAGUCGAGUGACACUGCGCCGAAAAUGUACCGGGGCUAAACAUAUUACCGAAGCUGUGGAUUGUCCGUAGGACAAUGGUAGGAGAGCGUUCUAAGGGCGUUGAAGCAUGAUCGCAAGGACAUGUGGAGCGCUUAGAAGUGAGAAUGCCGGUGUGAGUAGCGAAAGACGGGUGAGAAUCCCGUCCACCGAUUGACUAAGGUUUCCAGAGGAAGGCUCGUCCGCUCUGGGUUAGUCGGGUCCUAAGCUGAGGCCGACAGGCGUAGGCGAUGGAUAACAGGUUGAUAUUCCUGUACCACCUAGCAUCGUUUUAAUCGAUGGGGGG